GAAGUUUUUGGAUUCGCAGUGGCAUGCAGACACAGGAGGGUGGUGGCUUACCUGAGGAAUGGGGAAACGCAGUGUGCAUGAGCGAAUACUUCUGUGAGGUUGCUCAUAUUGGGACAAGUCAAGAAGAUCAGCGAUUCACAAACCUAGUUCGUAUGUUUUGUAUUCAGACCCCUUCAGUACUUUGUAGAAGCUCCUUUGGCAGCAGUUACAGCUUUGAGUCUUCUUGGGUAAGUCUCUACAAGCUUUACACACCUUCAUUUGGGC
Pangasianodon hypophthalmus (striped catfish) is the source of this 264-nucleotide long non-coding RNA. RefSeq lists it as uncharacterized. The record is from RefSeq and is a predicted model, not a curated record. NCBI's taxonomy places the organism in Eukaryota, Metazoa, Chordata, Actinopteri, Siluriformes, Pangasiidae. The transcript is spliced from 3 exons.